UACAGAGGGUGCGAGCGUUAAUCGGAAUUACUGGGCGUAAAGCGUGCGUAGACGGUUAUUUAAGUCGGGUGUGAAAGCCCCGGGCUCAACCUGGGAAUUGCAUUCGAGACUGAAUAGCUAGGGUACGGUAGAGGGAAGCGGAAUUUCCGGUGUAGCAGUGAAAUGCGUAGAUAUCGUAAGGAAGACCAGUGGCGAAGGCGGGUCUCUGGACAGUUCCUGACACUGAGGCACGAAGGCCAGGGGAGCAAACGGG
RNAcentral lists this ribosomal RNA (253 nucleotides) under uncultured bacterium. Its description in RNAcentral is "partial 16S ribosomal RNA". It matches the Rfam family "Bacterial small subunit ribosomal RNA", at positions 524 to 776 of the family's 1533-position model. The record is from RNAcentral.